CCUACGGGAGGCAGCAGUGAGGAAUAUUGGUCAAUGGACGAGAGUCUGAACCAGCCAAGUAGCGUGAAGGAUGACUGCCCUCUGGGUUGUAAACUUCUUUUAUAUGGGAAUAAAAUGUUCCACGUGUGGGAUUUUGUAUGUACCAUAUGAAUAAGGACAGGCUAACUCCGUGCCAGCAGCCGCGGUAAUACGGAGGAUCCGAGCGUUAUCCGGAUUUAUUGGGUUUAAAGGGAGCGUAGGUGGAUUGUUAAGUCAGUUGUGAAAGUUUGCGGCUCAACCGUAAAAUUGCAGUUGAAACUGGCAGUCUUGAGUACAGUAGAGGUGGGCGGAAUUCGUGGUGUAGCGGUGAAAUGCGUAGAUAUCACGAAGAACUCCGAUUGCGAAGGCAGUUCACUGGACUGCAACUGACGCUGAGGCUCGAAAGUGUGGGUAUCAAACAGGAUUAGAUACCCCGGUAGUC
RNAcentral lists this ribosomal RNA (460 nucleotides) under uncultured bacterium. RNAcentral's name for it is "partial 16S ribosomal RNA". It matches the Rfam family "Bacterial small subunit ribosomal RNA", at positions 338 to 795 of the family's 1533-position model. The record is from RNAcentral.